This is a transfer RNA of Monodelphis domestica (gray short-tailed opossum), 62 nucleotides long. It matches the Rfam family "tRNA", at positions 6 to 65 of the family's 71-position model. Rfam says of the family: Transfer RNA (tRNA) molecules are approximately 80 nucleotides in length. Lineage: Eukaryota; Metazoa; Chordata; Mammalia; Didelphimorphia; Didelphidae. The record is from Rfam.
UUUGGUGCAGUAGGUAGCACAUCUGUCUCACAAACUGAAGGUCCCGAGUUUGAUCCUCAGAA